GAUACUAUGGCCGAGUGGUUAAGGCGGGAGACUCGAAAUUAUCUAUCACUAGAUAACACUAGUAAUCUCUUGGGCUCUGCCCGCGCAGGUUCAAAUCCUGCUGGUGUCG
Molecule: transfer RNA, 109 nt
Rfam family: tRNA
About the family: Transfer RNA (tRNA) molecules are approximately 80 nucleotides in length. Their secondary structure includes four short double-helical elements and three loops (D, anti-codon, and T loops). Further hydrogen bonds mediate the characteristic L-shaped molecular structure. tRNAs have two regions of fundamental functional importance: the anti-codon, which is responsible for specific mRNA codon recognition, and the 3' end, to which the tRNAs corresponding amino acid is attached (by aminoacyl-tRNA synthetases). tRNAs cope with the degeneracy of the genetic code in two manners: having more than one tRNA (with a specific anti-codon) for a particular amino acid; and 'wobble' base-pairing, i.e. permitting non-standard base-pairing at the 3rd anti-codon position.